CUAUAUCACAACAUACACUCAUUUGGUAACAGCCAAUCAAAUCCAAAGCAUCUCGAGCUAUACUUCUACGACGAUGAUCCAAGCUUAGAGCAUCGAUACCGCCUUUGCCGUGAGGAAAUGUACGAGCAAGACAAGAAUGUCAUUCGAAUUAUAACAGGUAUCCUACGCGGUAACCCAUACUCUCAACAGUUCAGGAGUUUGGGACAAGCCGAAAACAUUGAGGACUACAGACUCAUGUUGAACCUUGACCAGAGAUUGGACCAAAGAACAUACAACGAGCCAAUCAAUUCAGAGGUAGCUGCAGUGUGGAUUGAAGGAAAUGAAAGAAGGGAUACUUAUGACAGAAAUGUAAUAUUACAUGGGAACAACAACGAAAAAGAGCACAUUCAAUCAUAUUAUGGGUGCUAUGAUCCAUUGUCAUAUCCUCUAUUCUUUCCAAGAGCUGAACUCGGUUGGCAUAGGAAAAUACCAAAGAGGGAAACAAAAGAGGCACAUAUUGCUGCUGAUAAUAUCACUAAUGACGAUGACCCAUGUAAAAAAACAUAUGCUAUUAUAUAUUUAAAAUACAAUUUUAAUAUACUAAUACCUAUGCAACUAACUUUUUAUCUUCCAAUAUUUGCACAGAUUCAGCCAGUGGCCUGUGGGUAA
This 648-nucleotide ribosomal RNA is filed under the name Triticum aestivum (bread wheat). RNAcentral's name for it is "partial small subunit ribosomal RNA". The record is from RNAcentral. Lineage: Eukaryota; Viridiplantae; Streptophyta; Magnoliopsida; Poales; Poaceae.